UACGAAGGGGGCUAGCGUUGCUCGGAAUCACUGGGCGUAAAGCGCACGUAGGCGGGUCGUUAAGUCGGGGGUGAAAUCCUGGGGCUCAACUCCAGAACUGCCUUCGAUACUGGCGAUCUUGAGUCUGGGAGAGGUGAGUGGAACUCCGAGUGUAGAGGUGAAAUUCGUAGAUAUUCGCAAGAACACCAGUGGCGAAGGCGGCUCACUGGCCCGAUACUGACGCUGAGGCACGAAGGUCAGGGGAGCAAACGGG
Molecule: ribosomal RNA, 253 nt
Filed under: uncultured bacterium
Lineage: Bacteria
Description: partial 16S ribosomal RNA
Rfam family: Bacterial small subunit ribosomal RNA
Source: RNAcentral